Molecule: ribosomal RNA, 473 nt
Filed under: uncultured bacterium
Lineage: Bacteria
Description: partial 16S ribosomal RNA
Rfam family: Bacterial small subunit ribosomal RNA
Source: RNAcentral
ACGCACGCUGGCGGCGUGCUUAACACCUGCAAGUCGCGCGGUAAGGCUCCUUCGGGAGUACACGAGCGGCGAACGGGUGAGUAACACGUGAGUAAUCUGCCCUUCACUUCGGGAUAACCACCGGAAACGGUGGCUAAUACCGAAUACGACCAGUCUUCGCAUGAGGUGCUGGUGGAAAGUCUUUUCGGUGAAGGAUGUGCUCGCGGCCUAUCAGCUUGUUGGUGGGGUAAUGGCCUACCAAGGCUUCGACGGGUAGCCGGCCUGAGAGGGUGACCGGCCACACUGGGACUGAGACACGGCCCAGACUCCUACGGGAGGCAGCAGUGGGGAAUAUUGGACAAUGGGCGAAAGCCUGAUCCAGCAACGCCGCGUGAGGGAUGACGGCCUUCGGGUUGUAAACCUCUUUCAGUACCGACGAAGCGCCCUGUCGGGUGGUGACGGUAGGUACAGAAGAAGGACCGGCCAACUACGUG